RNAcentral lists this long non-coding RNA (4850 nucleotides) under Nicotiana benthamiana. RNAcentral describes it as "long non-coding RNA (NBEN_LNC021792)". Lineage: Eukaryota; Viridiplantae; Streptophyta; Magnoliopsida; Solanales; Solanaceae. The record is from RNAcentral.
CAUUCAAUCUUGAUUGUUUGUCAUAUAAUAACGUUGUUUGACACUUGACUUCAUUGUUUGUCAUUCAUCAAAACCUAUACCUGGAAAUUAUGCUAAUACAACCAAAGCACACAUAUCAUGGAUAGAAUGAUACAUAUCAUGGAUAGAAUGAUUUCCUACACAAUAAACUAGACAUAUUCUCCCGAAUUACGUUAGCUGGCCUUAAGUACAUCUCACUCAGAUUGCACCAAGAUUUUGUUAUCCCUAGUCCCACCUUUAAAACCUUCAUAUUAAUCCCUCAUGUACGUUAGCAAUGAUUUUGUUCAAUAACCAUCUAAAUAUGCACUCUCUCCCGAGUAAUACAUACUAAAUAGGAAUAAUUAAUUGAGGUCCCUUCAAUCGACAGAAAUUAGCAUAUAGUUGAACAAAUAGAGAGAAUAGUAUGGAAAAUCUAUAUUAACGUAACAAGAAAAUCAUCCUCUAACGGGUUCCAUCAAAACCCUAGAUUAGGAGUUUAGCUACUCAUACUCAUAUUAACAAUAUCAAAGUAUUUUGCAUAAUAACAUUACAAAGUAAGGAUAAAGGGAUGUAGAAAUCGUUGAUUCUAAAUCCCAAGUAGUGUUCCACGAGAUAUCCUUGCCUCCGGUUGCAAAAGUUCUUCAAAGUAGAAUUUUAGGUCUAUUUAUAUAUUUAGGACAAGAUUUAAAUGUGUAGGUCAAAUCCCAGUCAAGACAGGAAAAAAAUUAAGUCUUCAAAACUAGGACUAGACCUCGCCUUAGGCCUAGCGUCGUCAACCUAACGCCUGGUAAAUCUGGCCCCAGGCCUGGGGUCGCAAUCCUAACGCCUGGUAAAUCUGGCCCAAGGCCUGGGGUCGCAAUCCUAACGCCUGGUUCUACUUGGCCUUUUCCUUGUGUCACCAGCCUAACUCCAACCUCAAGACUGGACUUUGCCUUACAUCUCCAGCCUCACGCCAGCUUCAAGCCUGGCAUCGCUAGGUUCUCUCAUUCACUGCUCCUACGCAAAAUUUUGACUUGUAGGUCUCUUUUUUCUUCUUCUUUCAUCUCCAAUUCACAUACACAUAAAAUGGACUCUACUACAUACAAAUAAGGUGUACUUUAUCGUUAAAACGUAUAAAAAUGCAAGUUGAAUAAUGUAGUAAACUAUGAAAUAUAGCUACAUAUCAAUAUCUCACACUUAAACGUUGCUCGUCCUCGAGCAAUGAAAUUAUACUUAUAGACAUAACCUAUUAAGGAAUUCCAUUAACUCAUUAUAUCAAGAAUCUUUAAAAUAGUUUAAGUACAAAGGUGUGACAUCCUCGCAUCAAGAAUCAACUCACAAAUAUCAUGCCUUAUUCCCAAUUCACUUAAUUACUCUAACAUAGAAGUCAACAACAUUACCUUUCCUUUAUGAAUCAUGUACCUUCACCCAAUCAAAGAGCUUAGUCCCACACACAAUGAAUUUUAAUAACGUAGGAACUCAAGGUAGGAAAAAAACCACUCUCUCUCUCUCUCAGAAACAAUCUUCAUUUGCCCUACAUGAUGCACCAUAAGCUUGCCCGUAGUGUAAUACAAAUCGAGUUCAUUCAGUAUAAGAACAAAUAGGACUUUCAUUGGUUGUAAUGUAGGCUCCGAGUCGGGAAUGGUACAUUUGAAUCUAAGUGACUACACCUCCCUUAAGAACUUUAAUACAAACACUUUAACCUUCAAGCCCAUACUUAUGCUAAACCAAAACUUCACCUUAACUUCACUAUUUUUACCCCUACUUCUUUAAGCACCAGUACAUCAAAAGCCACCACCAUCAGGAAUUAUUUUUCAUACACUACAACUAUUAUAUUUAUUUAGUUUUUCUUCCUUUUUUCUUUUUUUUUUUCUAUCCAAAUGGAUUUUGUUGGCACAUUUUUUUUCUUUCAAAUGGUGCACCUUUAUCCUUAUUUCACUUGUUCCACUCAAAAGCCAACCCACUACCUCACACUUUAACUUUUUCAUAAUUCAUUACAAUUAAAACGCUCAUGAGAGGUGACAUGGUUCAAAUAUAUGGUCGAUUCAAAUAAAGGAAUACGACUUGUAGUACGGUUACCAAAAAAACAAGAUUAUAGGCUCACAGAGGUUAACUACGAUACAUAAAAUUUAGGUGAGUACUCUAUAUAUAUCUAGCUUAACAAAGAAUUUUCUAUAUCACUUCUCAGACUGAACAAGACUACUAUUUCUCUUUGCACAUACACGGGGCAAGUUCUAAACAUUAAAUGCAAUGCACAUAAUACAUUCAAACCUCACAUAGACAUGAAGACAAAUUAAGUCUUCAAAACUCGAACUGGACCUCGCCCCAGGGUUGCUAGCCUGACGCCUGAAAAACCUGGCCCCAGGCCUGGAAUCACAGUCCUAACGUCUGGUUAUAACUUCAGUAAUUGAGGGGGAGAAUUAUCAAAAAAAAGUGUAGUAAUUAUAAGGUAGGGAAGAGACGGCUUCAGAGGAUGAUAACUUUAAUAAUUGAGAUGAUAUAAGAAAAACAAUUAAGAGAGAAGUGGUAUUUAUAAGAUGAGCUAGACAAGUAUUAUACUCACAAAAGUGAUCCCACUAAAUUCAAGUUAUAGCAAUACACAUGCCAACUUUUAUUUACUUUUAAUGAUUUCAAAUGGAGGAGAAAGAAGUAUACAGACAUUAUUCUAAACUCAAUCACUAAAAUAGCAAGUAGAUGUUCUUAGCCCAAAAAAUGAACAUGGAGACCAAUUAAUUUAUUUACUUUUAAUGAUUUCAAAUGGAGCACUAAAUUCAAGUUAUAGCAAUACACAUGCCAACUUUUAUUUACUUUUAAUGAUUUCAAAUGGAGGAGAAAGAAGUAUACAGACAUUAUUCUAAACUCAAUCACUAAAAUAGCAAGUAGAUGUUUUUAGCCCAAAAAAUGAACAGGGAGACCAAUUAAUGAGUUGACUCUAAGUCAUAUGAACUUAAUAUUUUGGUCGUAUUCAAUUGUUGCGCACAAUAGGAAACUACCUUUUCUCUAUAUGUUUGAAACUUUUGAGCUGAUUGUAUUCUUCUCCGCCAUAUGUGAUUCCUAUAUUCGAGAACAACAAAUUAGCAGACAAAUUGUUACAAUUGGAACGUCAAUUAUAAAGAAAUAACAAGUAAAUAGUGAAUCCAAUAUAAACCGAAGUGCUAACGUAAUCAUUCGCGGCAUUAUCUCUUCCUAGAUCUUUUUGCUAUGUUAAAUAACAAUCUUAUCUCCAAAAAUAAAUAUUCUGUAUUUUUUUCAAAAAUCAUGUACUUGAAUUACAGCUUGUUGUAAUACCCAAUGUCGCAGCAUGUUAUUCUUUUGCAUAACUUAUUGUUCAACUAUAACCAGUAGGACUUAAAUGUAUUGUCAUAGACAAAUGUUAAUAGGUUAACAACAAUUGAUCAAAAUCCUCAUAAGAAGUUUGACUAAUGAAAAAGUAUGGAGCUAAGUAAAAAGAUUUAGUUGCUUCUCAGAAUCAACAGAGAGACAAGUUAUACAAAUAUUUCUUUUACAUAGCGUGUCAUUAGCAGCAUGUUUCUCAUUAUAACUUUUAAUUGAAAGUAAUAGGUACCCAAAAAGAAUAGCAUUUCAAAACCCAAUAAAAAAAUUCUUGAAGACAACUUAAAAAAGAAAAGAGAGAACAAGGCAUAAAGUUAUUUAUAUUAUUUAAUAUCUUAUGCGAGCAUUGGUUAUGUCGCCGAUAAGCUAAAUUAUGGUUGAAAUGUGAUAUGCACAUCCUGCAAGUUCAAAUAGGCGGACAUUGUACCACUGAAUCCAUAGUUUUUAUUUGGUAAGAAUGAAAACUCUGAGUUGUGAAUUAAAUAAAAAAUACUUAUAUUUGAAAUGUGAAGUUCCUAAUUCAACAACAAUCAUGAUUAUAAGGUAACUGAUCCAUAGAAACAUAUUUGUGUUAUUCACAUGGCAGCCACCGAAACAAGUAAAUGGCGUUAAGAAAAACAACCUCCACAACUUCUCAAUUUUUUUCCAGUUAACCAUACAAUGAUUCAAAAACUAACCACCAAUUAUAAUAUUUAUGAUCCUAAAAUUCCUUACGCUGCACUGACUAUACAUUGACAACCCACUAUGCAUAUUACGGGACUCCUAAAAGUAUUUUAAUAGUCAAAAUAAUAAAAUAAAGGAAUCAAAAGUACAAAAGCUGCCAUUUCUAAUCGUGGAAUCAACUUUGAACCUCAUUCAAGAGGAGAUUGGAAGAAGAAUCAAAAGAGAAAUAAUGAAAACACAAAAAUCAGUGAGCGCAAGAAGAGGACUAUAAGAGCAUUGAGGAGGAGUCAAUGUGGAAUGUAGUCCGGCAAUGAAAAUCAAAUCUGAAAGGGGGUUAUACAUCAAAAUUUUAAAUUAACAAUUAGUAAAUUUCACCUGUUUUAAACUUUAAAAAAUUACAACAUUUCAAGGGGGUUAUACCUCAAAUUUAGCAGAGAAUCGACCUUCGACGGAUUAAUUAUGAUAUAUUAAAAAGGAAAAAAUAAAAUAUAAACCCUUCAAAAAUAACAAUUGAAAGGAUAUACCUCAAUAUUCAUGUUCAACAGUUCGAAAGAUCCGAGAAUACUCUAUCCCGGUAGACGAUUGCUGCUCCAAGAGUUCAUUCAACAAAAAGCAACAUACAAGUUUAUCCCAAAUUGUGAAUCACAAAAUUGUGUUCAAAGUGUUCAUUCAACAUAAAGCAACAUACAAGUUUAUCCCAAAUUGUGAAUCACAAAAUUGUGUUCAAAGUCUGAUUAGAGAUAAGAAAAAGCAAAAUUCGUAAAAGAAAAUAUGAAGGGUAUGAAAAAGAUUGUAAGAGAUAUCUACUGCUAAUGGUAUACAAUUGCGGCUAGAACUCAUUAGCAAAUGGCAUAUGAUUAACAAAGUAAUAGUGAAAG